UACGAGAGGCCCAAACGUUAUUCGGAAUUACUGGGCUUAAAGAGUCCGUAGGCGGCUCAGAAAGUGGGGUGUGAAAGCCCUCGGCUUAACCGAGGAAUUGCGCUCCAAACUCCUGAGCUCGAGGAACCUAGAGGUGAGCGGAACUGAUGGUGGAGCGGUGAAAUGCGUUGAUAUCAUCAGGAACACCGGAGGCGAAGGCGGCUCACUGGGGGUUUUCUGACGCUGAGGGACGAAAGCUAGGGGAGCAAACGGG
RNAcentral lists this ribosomal RNA (253 nucleotides) under uncultured bacterium. RNAcentral's name for it is "partial 16S ribosomal RNA". It matches the Rfam family "Bacterial small subunit ribosomal RNA", at positions 524 to 776 of the family's 1533-position model. The record is from RNAcentral.